RNAcentral lists this non-coding RNA (28 nucleotides) under Mus musculus (house mouse). RNAcentral also lists the same sequence under 1 other name. The record is from RNAcentral. Lineage: Eukaryota; Metazoa; Chordata; Mammalia; Rodentia; Muridae.
UAAAUCCAUGCCAUGUUGCAGAGAGUUC